UGGUGGGUAGUUUGACUGGGGCGGUCUCCUCCUAAAGAGUAACGGAGGAGCACGAAGGUUGGCUAAUCCUGGUCGGACAUCAGGAGGUUAGUGCAAUGGCAUAAGCCAGCUUGACUGCGAGCGUGACGGCGCGAGCAGGUGCGAAAGCAGGUCAUAGUGAUCCGGUGGUUCUGAAUGGAAGGGCCAUCGCUCAACGGAUAAAAGGUACUCCGGGGAUAACAGGCUGAUACCGCCCAAGAGUUCAUAUCGACGGCGGUGUUUGGCACCUCGAUGUCGGCUCAUCACAUCCUGGGGCUGAAGUAGGUCCCAAGGGUAUGGCUGUUCGCCAUUUAAAGUGGUACGCGAGCUGGGUUUAGAACGUCGUGAGACAGUUCGGUCCCUAUCUGCCGUGGGCGCUGGAGAACUGAGGGGGGCUGCUCCUAGUACGAGAGGACCGGAGUG
Molecule: ribosomal RNA, 441 nt
Filed under: Escherichia coli
Lineage: Bacteria; Pseudomonadati; Pseudomonadota; Gammaproteobacteria; Enterobacterales; Enterobacteriaceae
Description: partial 23S ribosomal RNA
Rfam family: Bacterial large subunit ribosomal RNA
Source: RNAcentral